This 497-nucleotide ribosomal RNA is filed under the name uncultured bacterium. RNAcentral's name for it is "partial 16S ribosomal RNA". It matches the Rfam family "Bacterial small subunit ribosomal RNA", at positions 28 to 507 of the family's 1533-position model. The record is from RNAcentral.
GAUGAACGCUGGCGGCGUGCCUAAUACAUGCAAGUCGAGCGAACAGACGAGGAGCUUGCUCCUCUGACGUUAGCGGCGGGCGGGUGAGUAACACGUGGAUAACCUACCUAUAAGACUGGGAUAACUUCGGGAAACCGGAGCUAAUACCGGAUAAUAUAUUGAACCGCAUGGUUCAAUAGUGAAAGACGGUUUUGCUGUCACUUAUAGAUGGAUCCGCGCCGCAUUAGCUAGUUGGUAAGGUAACGGCUUACCAAGGCAACGAUGCGUAGCCGACCUGAGAGGGUGAUCGGCCACACUGGAACUGAGACACGGUCCAGACUCCUGCGGGAGGCAGCAGUAGGGAAUCUUCCGCAAUGGGCGAAAGCCUGACGGAGCAACGCCGCGUGAGUGAUGAAGGUCUUCGGAUCGUAAAACUCUGUUAUUAGGGAAGAACAAAUGUGUAAGUAACUAUGCACGUCUUGACGGUACCUAAUCAGAAAGCCACGGCUAACUACGUG